Non-coding RNA from Cinara cedri, 438 nucleotides. Lineage: Eukaryota; Metazoa; Arthropoda; Insecta; Hemiptera; Aphididae. The record is from the annotation of a GenBank genome assembly.
AAACCGAAAUAUCUAUCAUAUAUCUUUAAUUUCAACCCGUAAACGAUAUCGUAGAUUGAAAAACACAGUACAAUUGCUUUAUAAAUAUUUAUAUCGUAUUACAUAGCGACGGUUGGCUGCAUAUGCUCGGUUCAAAAACAAAAUAUUCUUUUCAGUUAGAUGUGUACGCAGUGAAAUUCGGCUCAAAUUUGGUAUCGGUGUAAUUAUUUCUCCAGGUUUCCCGUUGGUGUAAUACAGAUAUACCGUAUAUAUAGUCUGCAGAACCGCGAGACAGUCUGCAACCGCGCGGGCCAAUCGUUUCCUGUUUUAUAAACGUUGUACUGUUAUGAUAUUAUUUUAUUCCGGUCCGCGAAUUUCCCGGCUCGGAUUAUAUUAUUUUCGCUAUAUAAAUCGGACCGUCUUGAAAACGCGAAAAAUCCUCCGCAAUAAUCUCAUGGC